GGCGAGUUAGGCGUCGAGUUCGAGGCUCCAAGCGGCCCGAUGCGCGGGGCCGCUCGGCCGAGGACUGGUGGUGGGACCGGCUGGCCCCUCGCGGCUCUGGGUACCACCUGCUGCAAGCGGACAGCAUGCUGCUCGUGCUGCCGGACCUGGAGCCUACCCGCGCUCGUGCUCACAGGCGCGCCCCUCGCCGCGCUCCGAGGUCACUGGCUCGUGGCCCCACAGCUGUCGCCAAGCCCAGGGCCAAACCCCGACCAGAGCCAUCACUUGACCAGGGCCUGGACUCUGGUUGGGGAGAUCGUAUUCCCUUAGAAGUCCUGGUGCAUAUUUUCGGGUUGUUGGUUGCGGCUCAUGGGCCCAUGCCGUUUCUUGGCAGGUACACUAACAGCGCCUGCCGGGGUUUAGACUGGCCCACUGAGCGGGUGGUGCAGAGCAGAGGGCAAAGCAUCUCAGCGGGCGUACACAAGUGCUCCAGCUCCAAUAGCUUUGAGAGCGGGCGACAGCAGGCUUUGAGACCGCUGCGCUGCCCCGAAGACGCUUCGUUGUAAGCAUUCCCCACAAAAGGCCACGCACUCUCAGCGAACUGUUUCUUCUCCUAGGGCUGCACGCGUUUGCCGUCAUUGGCAUGAAGCCACCUCUCAUCCUUCACUCUGGCAUACUGUGACCCUGUCACCGGCGCUGGUUGGCCGGGCUGCUAAGGGCAACCUUAAGGGAGAGAAGAAGCUCCUUGCUUGCCUGGAGUGGCUCAUACCCAAUCGGUGAGGGCUCUCUGUCAUCGUAUUCUUUCUCUGCCCGAGUCUCCCCGCACCAGUGUUGAGCAGGGAUGAUUCUGGCCAGGAGGGCAGCGUAAGGACUCUGGCACAACCACAGCUGGGCCUUGCUGUCGCCCAGGUUCUCACAGCUCCAGAGGUUGACCCUCAUCCACUGGAAGUCUCAAGUACACUCCGUGUUGGAGCUGGUUAGCAAGUUCUGUCCACGGCUCACCUUCCUGAAGCUUUCAGAUUGCCACGGUGUGACAGCUGAAACGCUGGUCAUGUUAGCAAAAGCCUGCUGUCAGCUCCACAGCCUAGAUCUACACCAUUCCAUGGUCGAGUCCACAGCUGUGGUGAGCUUCUUGGAGGAGGCGGGGUCCCGGAUGCGGAGGCUGUGGCUGACCUACAGUUCCCAGACCACAGCCAUCUUGGGUGCACUGCUGGGCAACUGCUGCUCCCAGCUCCAAGUCCUCGAGGUCAGCGCUGGCAUGAGCUGCAACAACACACCCUUGCAGCUGCCUGUGGAAGCCCUACAGAGAGGCUGCCCCCAGCUGCAGGUAUUUAUACCCUCCUCUCUCUCACCUGCCACUCUUCUGCCUACCUGCAGCCUGCCACUCCUCCCUCUGCCCAGGUGCUACGGCUGCUGAAUCUGAUUUGGCUUCCCAAGCCUUGUGGCCGAGGAGCGCCCCAGGGACCAGGAUUCCCCAGUCUGGAGGAGCUCUGCUUGGCUGGCUCCACCUGCAGCUUUGUGAGCAAUGAGGUUCUGGGCCGCUUGCUCCACUGCUCCCCCAAACUGCGCCUGCUGGAUCUUCGAGGCUGUGCUAGAAUCACUCCUACUGGGCUGUGUCAUUUGCCGUGUCAAGAGUUGGAGCAGCUCUACCUGGGCCUGUAUGGCAUGUCUGAUGGGUUGGCUCUAGCCAAGGAUGGCAGCCCCCUGUUGACCCAGAAGUGGUAUCACACCCUGAGGGAGCUGGACUUCAGUGGCCAAGGCUUCAGCGAGAAAGACUUGGAACAGGCCCUGGCUGUUUUCUCAGGCACCACUGAGGGCUUACCCCCAGCCUUGUGUUCCCUCAACCUAAGGGGUACCCGAGUUACACCAAGCACAGUCAGUUCUGUGAUUAGCAGUUGCCCGGGGCUGCUGUAUCUCAAUCUGGAGUCCUGUCGUUGUCUCCCACGAGGUCUGAAGCGUGCCUACAGGGGCCUGGAGGAAGUCCAGUGGUGUCUAGAGCAGCUACUUACGAGCCCGCCCUCUUCCAGAGAGUCCACAUAACUCAAGACGGCUCCCCGCUUUGCCCUGCCCUUUUUCACUUGGAGAUGUUUGAGCUUUUGUUACAGUAAAGUAUUUUUUAGGCACUUUUGUAC
Molecule: long non-coding RNA, 2111 nt
Filed under: Rattus norvegicus (Norway rat)
Lineage: Eukaryota; Metazoa; Chordata; Mammalia; Rodentia; Muridae
Description: long non-coding RNA NONRATT027062
Source: RNAcentral